AAUAGAUACCCGGGUAGUCCACGCCCUAAACGAUGUUCACUAGGUGUCGGGGGGUAACCUCCGGUGCCGCAGCUAACGCAUUAAGUGAACCGCCUGGGGACUACGGCCGCAAGGUUGAAACUCAAAGGAAUUGGCGGGGGACCGCACAAGCGGUGGAGCAUGUGGCUUAAUCGAUGCAACGCGAAGAACCUUACCAGGGCUUGACAUGUAUCUGCAAGCGAUAGAAAUAUCGUCGCCUUCGAGGGUGAUACACAGGUGGUGCAUGGCUGUCGUCAGCUCGUGUUGUGAAAUGUUGGGUUAAGUCCCGCAACGAGCGCAACCCUCAUUGUCUGUUGCCAGCGAGUAAUGUCGGGAACUCGGACAAAACUGCCUCUGUAAGGAGGAGGAAGGUGGGGAUGACGUCAAGUCAUCAUGCCCCUUACGCCCUGGGCUGCACACAUGCUACAAUGGCCGGUACAAAGGGUUGCUAACCCGCAAGGGUAUGCUAAUCUCAAAAAACCGGUCUCAGUUCGGAUUGAGGU
RNAcentral lists this ribosomal RNA (521 nucleotides) under uncultured bacterium. Its description in RNAcentral is "bacterial SSU rRNA". It matches the Rfam family "Bacterial small subunit ribosomal RNA", at positions 777 to 1304 of the family's 1533-position model. The record is from RNAcentral.